UGAUUUGUGACGUUUCUUAAUCUAUGAUUUCUGUAAUUGUGUCUCAAGGUUGUUAAGGUAGCAGAUUUUGGCAUUGCUCGGUUCCAAAAUCAAGGGGGUGUGAUGACAGCAGAGACUGGUACAUACCGAUGGAUGGCCCCUGAGGUUAUUAAUCAUCAACCAUACGAUCAGAAAGCAGACAUAUUCAGUUUUGCUAUUGUUCUGUGGGAGCUUGUCACCGCUAAGGUUCCAUAUGAUACGAUGACUCCUUUACAAGCUGCCCUGGAGUG
This is a non-coding RNA of Camellia sinensis, 269 nucleotides long. The record is from RefSeq and is a predicted model, not a curated record. Lineage: Eukaryota; Viridiplantae; Streptophyta; Magnoliopsida; Ericales; Theaceae.